This 434-nucleotide ribosomal RNA is filed under the name uncultured bacterium. RNAcentral's name for it is "partial 16S ribosomal RNA". It matches the Rfam family "Bacterial small subunit ribosomal RNA", at positions 29 to 507 of the family's 1533-position model. The record is from RNAcentral.
AGCGAACGCUGGCGGCAGGCCUAACACAUGCAAGUCGAACGAACCUUUCGGGGUUAGUGGCGGACGGGUGAGUAACACGUGGGAACGUGCCUUUAGGUUCGGAAUAACUCAGGGAAACUUGUGCUAAUACCGAAUGUGCCCUUCGGGGGAAAGAUUUAUCGCCUUUAGAGCGGCCCGCGUCUGAUUAGCUAGUUGGUUGAGGUAAUGGCUCACCAAGGCGACGAUCAGUAGCUGGUCUGAGAGGAUGAUCAGCCACAUUGGGACUGAGACACGGCCCAAACUCCUACGGGAGGCAGAAGUGGGGAAUCUUGCGCAAUGGGCGAAAGCCUGACGCAGCCAUGCCGCGUGAAUGAUGAAGGUCUUAGGAUUGUAAAAUUCUUUCACCGGGGACGAUAAUGACGGUACCCGGAGAAGAAGCCCCGGCUAACUUCGUG